Molecule: ribosomal RNA, 129 nt
Filed under: uncultured bacterium
Lineage: Bacteria
Description: partial 16S ribosomal RNA
Rfam family: Bacterial small subunit ribosomal RNA
Source: RNAcentral
CCCGGGUCUUGUACACACCGCCCGUCACACCACGAGAGUUUACAACACCCGAAGUCGGUGAGGUAACCGCAAGGAGCCAGCCGCCGAAGGUGGGGUAGAUGAUUGGGGUGAAGUCGUAACAAGGUACCC